RNA transcript from Dreissena polymorpha, 4579 nucleotides. It is a transcript of the gene named archaemetzincin-2-like, with no coding region annotated. NCBI's taxonomy places the organism in Eukaryota, Metazoa, Mollusca, Bivalvia, Myida, Dreissenidae. The transcript is spliced from 4 exons. The record is from RefSeq and is a predicted model, not a curated record.
UAGGGCGAAACGACCCGGAUUCGGCUCAAAACAUCCGCCCGAAAUAACUCAACAAAUUAGAUUUUUCUGCUUUGAAAAUACGCAUGUAAAUAUAGUGAACAUUCGGGUUUUGCUGAAGUAUUAAUAAAUAACAGGGCAUACAGCUGCUAUGGGUAAUUCAUUUUCAUCUAAUACCCGCAAAUACAAGCUGCUUAUUGGAGAUCUCUCUGGAAGUGAUGUAUCUUUUGAGGAACGCAAACUGUUCAGUCUCAGUGAACAAGUUAUUUACAAUGAACAAGCCACCAUCGGAAAAUUGUCUGUUGAUCUCAAUGCUGUUGUCAUUGAUCGUCACAAUAUUCUUGCGCAGGAGACUUCAGUUGAAUCUGCAGUGCGAAAGGACAGUGAUCCAAUAACAUUAUUUAAACUGCUAAUUUCUGGAAAGCCCUAUUAUAUAUCUCAAACAUUUAGUAUGUGGAAUUCCUAUUUUACAUAUGACCAGUUAUUUACAUUGUGUUGCCAUGGCAAAAAGACAGCUAUUUACUUACAGCCACUAGGAUAUUUUCCCAACUUUAUUAGUGAUUUUAAAGUAAAUCUAAAACAUUAUGAUGGGAGUUAUAACUUCUUUGAUCUCCUUCAGAAGUUUUUGGAAGCCUUUUUUGAUGGUAUGCAUAUUAAACUGUUACCUAAUGUUAAUGAAUAUGAGGCAAAGUGGAAAAUCAAAACAAGAUUUCAUAAUAAAACUGGAAGUAAACAGGCAUAUGUACGAGAUUUCUUUCCCAAACUAAGGAAGGCAAAACCAGCAGAUGGUCACUGUAUACUAGGCUUAACUUGGACUGAUUUGUACCCAACUGAAAAGCUAAACUUUGUUCUUGGAGAAGCCCACUUUACGUACAAGUCCGGAAUGUUUUGUUUUGGACGCAAUGAGCCAAAGUCUUAUGAUCCAGAUACAUUCAAAGACAUUGGAGAAAUAGAUGCAAAUAUUAUGUGGCGUAUAAUAAAGGUGGUGAGCCAUGAAACCUGCCACCUGUUCGGCCUGAUGCACUGCUGGUAUUUCCACUGUGCCAUGAAUGAGAGCAGCAGUAUGGCAGAGGCUGCGUCACAGCCACUCUUCCUGUGUCCAGUGUGUCUGCGGAAACUUCAGAAGGCGUGUGGCUUCAAUAUACUGAACCGCUAUAGGAGAAUGCUGUGUAUAUUGAGUGAUAUAUCUGAUACGUUUCCAUCUCCAGAGUUUUGUCAUUCUGUCCAGUGGUUGAAAAAAUGCCUGGAAUUUUUGGAAUCUGAAAGUCUGUGAUAUGUGGACCUUUUGAACUUGUUAUACAUAAAUGUGUAUUCAUAAGGCAAAUAGUCAAACAAAUAUCUAUUGAAAAUGCUUAAUGAUAUUUAACAUUAAUGGCACUAUAGCUCUCCAGCAUUAUCAUGACUUUAACUUUUAUGCACAUAAGAACAUGUAUAGUACUAAAAUUAUAAUAUAUAUCAUUGUAAAUACAUUAGUUUUGAAUGAAUAUGACUAGUAUUCUUAUAAGUUUGAAUAUAGGAAACAAUUGAGCUACAUUUUUAACCAGGUUUUCCGAAGGAAAAAACUGGUUAUUAGAUUGGCGAAUGCGGGCGGGCUGGCUGGCGGGCUGGCUGGCGGGCUGGCGGAAUAAGCUUGUCCGGGCCAUAACUAUGUCGUUCAUUGUCAGAUUUUAAAAUCAUUUGGCACAUUUGUUCACCAUCAUUGGACGGUGUGUCGCGCGAAAUAAUUACGUCGAUAUCUCCAAGGUCAAGGUCACACUUUGAGUUCAAAGGUCAAAAAUGGCCAGAAAUGAGCUUGUCCUGGCCAUAACUAUGUCAUUCAUUGUGAGAUUUUAAAAUCAUUUGGCACAUUUGUUCACCAUCAUGGGACGGUGUGUCCCACGAAAGAAUCACGUCAAUAUCUCCAAUGUCAAGGUCGCCACGACUAAAAAUAGAUUUAAAAAAAAAAAACUUACAAAGGGGGUUAAUUUUUUUUGGUCAUUUCAAAAGUUCAGUUUGAGUUUUCUCCCUUUAUCAGAUUUUUUUUUCACAAUGAAAACCUGGUUUUGUGACAAUUUUGUCCCUUGUUCUUACUUAUUUCAUGAAAUUCACAAGAAUCCUGCUAAUACUAUUAAGCUAUACAUGCCUCAUUUGUAUAAAAAUAAAAGUAAGGUGGGUAGUACAAAACAACAUGUAUUAAAUAUGAUCAUACUGUCUCUGUUUAUGUACCUUUACAUCCAAACAUUUUGUCUCAGUACAUACAAACUAAUUAAUUGACUUGGAAUAGAAAAGACUAAUGUCCUUACAGAAGAACAUUUUCAACUAGUUGACUUGAGUUUAGAUGGAGAUGUGCACAUUUAAAAUGCUGGUAGUUUACAAGAAGCCUCAGCUGGGGAUUGCAUUAAGGGCCAGUUGGAUUAAGGUCAAGGUCACUGUUACUAAAAAUAAAAAAUAGGAUAAGUGGACAGUGAUUGCCCCAAAUCGCACACCUGAUUUUAAGGCAAGCUUAUUGUCACAGACUGCUUGGUGACCCAGAUUUUAACCUCAUCUUACCCAGAUAUAACAUGGUGUAGAUAUUGUAAAGAUAAACAUUGCAGCUAUGCAUCAUUGAUAUCGAGUUCAGAUUAUGAAAGUGGUAACAAUGUUCAUCAAUACUUUUAUAUAUAUACAUGUAUAUAUCAUAAUAUAUGUAUAGUAAUAAUUAUGCCUUUUAGAGUAGUAAUAGUGCCUUUUAGAAUGGUAUGACCUUGUUACCAAGAUUUUGGAAGCAUAUGACCCAGAUUCAAUUUUUACUUAGAUUUUGUUCAGAUAAAUAUAAUUACCAACAUGAAUCAAGUUUAAGACACAAAUGUGGCCCCUAAAGAUUUUCCAAGAUUUGACCUCGUGACUUUUUUGGACGCAUAAAACCCUGAUUCUAAUUCAUCCUACAUGUAUAUAUAGUCGACUGAACAUUACAACAAAGUUUCGUCAUGAUUAGAUGAAAAUUAUUUUUCUCUAGAGUGUAAACCACCUGAAAGUUGACGACAGACUAUGACGGACAUAGAAUAACCACAAUCACAACAGCAAACAGGUUUUUUCAAAAACUUGACAUAGCAUGACCACAAUCGCACCAGGAAACAGGUGGUUUCAAUAACUUCUAUAACUUGACAUAGAAUGACCACAAUCACGACAGUAAACAGAUGGUUUCUAUAAUUUCAAUAACUUAAGUUUGCAUUGACAAAUAUUUAUUAAACUUAUGAUAAAGAAAGCUUGCCUGAAAACCUAGCUAAAGAUUGUAUUUGAGUCAUGUUGGGUAAUGGUGAAUGCAACUCUAAACAGAACAAUAGUUUCAGCUCAAUAAAAUGAUCUUGAAUGGAAAUAUUUAGCUUAGAUAUUUUGUGUUAAUGUAGCUUGAAUAAGACUUAGCUUGGGAUUGUUUUUGGUGUCAGGUGGGUGAAUCUCACUUAACCAAGAAUGGAACUUAAGCAAACAGGUGUUUUCUUGUUAAUAAAUGAUAUUAACAAGAAAAUUCCCAAGUUCCAUUCUUGGUAACAAUGAUCUUCACCGGUUUGAUUUGAAGAAUUUGAAUGAAACUGCAGAUUUUUAUGUCCCCCACUAUAGUAGUGGGGGACAUAUUGUUUUUGCCCUGUCUGUUGGUCUGUUGGUCUGUACGUUGGUCUGUUUGCGCCAACUUUAACAUUUUGCAAUAACUUUUGCUAUAUUGAAGAUAGCAACUUCAUAUUUGGCAUGCAUGUGUAUCUCAUGAAGCUGCACAUUUUGAGCGGUGAAAGGUCAAGGUCAAGGUAUUCCUUCAAGGUCAGAGGUCAAAUAUAUGUGGCCAAAAUCGCUCAUUUUAUGAAUACUUUUGCAAUAUUGAAGAUAGCAACUUUAUAUUAGGCAUGCAUGUGUAUCUCAUGGAGCUGCACAUUUUGAGUGAUGAAAGGUCAAGGUCAUCCUUCAAGGGCAGAGGUCAAACAUAUGUGGCCCAAAUCGCUUAUUUUAUAAAUACUUUUGCAAUAUUGAAAAUAGCAACUUGAUAUUUGGCAUGUAUGUGCAUCUCGUGGAGCUGCACAUUUUGAGUGGUGAAAGGUCAAGGUCAUCCUUCAAGGUCAGAGGUCAAAUAUAUGUGGCCCAAAUCGCUUAUUUUAUGAAUACUUUUGCAAUAUUGAAGAUAGCAACUUGAUAUUUGGCAUGCAUGUGUAUCUCAUGGAGCUGCACAUUUUGAGUGGUGAAAGGUCAAGGUCAUCCUUCACAAGGUCAAGGUCAUCCUUCAAGGUCAAACAUCAUAUAGGGGGACAUUGUGUUUCACAAACACAUCUUGUUUCAGCUUGGGUUGUAUUUUGAUCAAGAAAAUGUUUCUGAAAAUAAAAUGAUUGCAUAGCUCAAUAACUUCAGGUGAGACAGAGAUUUUGCAAUUAAACUUUGUGUGUAGGUAGAUAACAGGCGUACUUAGCGUUGGAGUGUGCAAUUAUUUACAUUAAAGUAAUAACACAAACUUGAAAACCUGGUUGAAGGGCGUUGUCACGAUUCUCUCAAAUCUGCUAUUUUGAUGUUAUUUGCAGCACAAUAUCUGGUUGGGUUUUUGGUAUUUGUAUUAUUUAUUUAGUAAAUAAAUUGUUGAAAACCA